GCCCCGAACACUGUUACUGCCAGCUCUUGGGGUAUUUCCCCCUUAUCUUAAGAUGGCUAGAUAAUCCAGUCCCUUUAACUUCAGGGGAACAAGGUUUUAAAAUGCUUUUGAUGUCCAGGCCGAAUCCUCGAUAGACAACUAAAUCAGGAUCUUUGGAGGGAAUGGGUUGGAGAGAUGAUGGCUCAGCGGUUAAGAGCACCGACUGUUCUUCCAGAGGUCCUGAGUUCAAUUCCCAGCAACCACAUGGUGGCUCAUAACCAUCUGUCACGAGGUCCGGUGCCCUCUUCUGGUGGAAGAAUGGAAGCAGAAUGUUGUAUACAUAAUAAAUAAAUAAAGUCUUUUAAAAAAAUGUCCAGGGAACAGGGACUUUGUCUUAUUUCUUUUACAUCUUUGCAUCUGACAGUUUCAAAUGAA
This 414-nucleotide long non-coding RNA is filed under the name Cricetulus griseus (Chinese hamster). RNAcentral describes it as "lncRNA (ENSCGRG00015029582.1)". The record is from RNAcentral. Lineage: Eukaryota; Metazoa; Chordata; Mammalia; Rodentia; Cricetidae.